UACGGAGGGUGCAAGCGUUGUCCGGAUUUAUGGGGUUUAAAGGGUGCGUAGGCGGCUUUUUAAGUCAGUGGUGAAAGACAACAGCUCAACUGUUGCAGUGCCAUUGAUACUGAAGAGCUUGAGUACAGAUGAGGUAGGCGGAAUUUAUGGUGUAGCGGUGAAAUGCAUAGAUACCAUAAAGAACACCUAUUGCGAAGGCAGCUUACUAAGCUGUAACUGACGCUGAGGCACGAAAGUGUGGGGAUCAAACAGG
RNAcentral lists this ribosomal RNA (253 nucleotides) under uncultured bacterium. RNAcentral's name for it is "partial 16S ribosomal RNA". It matches the Rfam family "Bacterial small subunit ribosomal RNA", at positions 524 to 776 of the family's 1533-position model. The record is from RNAcentral.